AGAACGAACGCUGGCGGCAGGCUUAACACAUGCAAGUCGAGCGCCCCGCAAGGGGAGCGGCAGACGGGUGAGUAACGCGUGGGAACAUACCCUCCGGUUCGGAAUAGCUCAGGGAAACUUGGAUUAAUACCGGAUACGGCCUAGCGGCGAAAGAUUCAUCGCCGGAGGAUUGGCCCGCGUCUGAUUAGCUAGUUGGUGGGGUAAUGGCCCACCAAGGCGACGAUCAGUAGCUGGUCUGAGAGGAUGAUCAGCCACAUUGGGACUGAGACACGGCCCAAACUCCUACGGGAGGCAGCAGUGGGAAUAUUGGACAAUGGGCGCAAGCCUGAUCCAGCCAUGCCGCGUGAGUGAUGACGGCCUUAGGGUUGUAAAGCUCUUUCGCUAGGGACGAUAAUGACGGUACCUAGACAAGAAGCCCCGGCUAACUUCGUGCCAGCAGCCGC
This 443-nucleotide ribosomal RNA is filed under the name uncultured bacterium. RNAcentral describes it as "SSU rRNA". It matches the Rfam family "Bacterial small subunit ribosomal RNA", at positions 26 to 518 of the family's 1533-position model. The record is from RNAcentral.